CAACAGUUGGAAACGACUGCUAAUACCGCAUGAUGCAUAAGGGUCGCAUGAUUCUUAUGCCAAAGAUUUAUCGCUUCAAGAUGGCCUCGCGUCUGAUUAGCUGGUUGGCGGGGUAACGGCCCACCAAGGCGACGAUCAGUAGCCGGACUGAGAGGUUGAACGGCCACAUUGGGACUGAGAUACGGCCCAGACUCCUACGGGAGGCAGCAGUGGGGAAUAUUGGGCAAUGGGCGCAAGCCUGACCCAGCAACGCCGCGUGAAGGAAGAAGGCUUUCGGGUUGUAAACUUCUUUUAAGAGGGAAGAGCAGAAGACGGUACCUCUAGAAUAAGCCACGGCUAACUACGUGCCAGCAGCCGCGGUAAUACGUAGGUGGCAAGCGUUGUCCGGAUUUACUGGGUGUAAAGGGCGUGCAGCCGGGUCUGCAAGUCAGAUGUGAAAUCCAUGGGCUCAACCCAUGAACUGCAUUUGAAACUGUAGAUCUUGAGUGUCGGAGGGGCAAUCGGAAUUCCUAGUGUAGCGGUGAAAUGCGUAGAUAUUAGGAGGAACACCAGUGGCGAAGGCGGAUUGCUGGACGAUAACUGACGGUGAGGCGCGAAAGUGUGGGGAGCAAACAGGAUUAGAUACCCUGGUAGUCCACACUGU
RNAcentral lists this ribosomal RNA (643 nucleotides) under uncultured bacterium. Its description in RNAcentral is "bacterial SSU rRNA". It matches the Rfam family "Bacterial small subunit ribosomal RNA", at positions 144 to 803 of the family's 1533-position model. The record is from RNAcentral.